UGUUUAAACAAGCCACAUCAUGUUAGAUAUUUAAGAUAUAUUUAAAUACAUGUAUUCUUAAAAUUUAUAGAAGGCAUUGGACCUACAGUAAAUAUUUUAUAGGCUAUUAUUUAAUGGUUAAAACCACUUGUUAAUAUUCCAUUUGACAUUGUCAGUGGGCAUUCAGGCAAGCCUGACUUGCUCCCACAUUUCUCUAUUCUCUUUAAGAUGGGACACUGACUCUGUCCUGAGGGAUUCCUCAGGAUGUAGUUUGAUUUUUAGAUCUUAUGAAAGGAGUGACUAACAUGUUCUGUGUAACAGCAUAGCCAAAAUGAGAGCUUAAAUCAUAAUUUCAUGGCUGGACUUACUUCACCAUGGGAUCCCAAAUUCCCUUGGGCUAGAUGGUGAAAGUGGCAUCUUAAGUUUAAAAGUGACUGUAUUUGAUUGCAUUAAGUUUUAAGUUGGUCAUGUAGGAGGCACUAAUUGUUAAAGUGAUCAUAUCAAUAGAAUUAAUAUAAUUAAAGAGGAGUAAAUGCUUUAACAUGGGAAGCAGUCCAUACAGCACACUCAUAGAAUGGCAAUUGCUCUAAGUAAAGCUCAGUGACCUCAGAGUCAUCCCUAAAGGCAUUCUGAUCUGGCUAAAAAGCCCACAAGAGCAUUUCAGGCAUGGAAAGUCAGGACACUUGUGCGAAAAGGUGUACCUACAGGGAGAGUCUCCCUGGGUGAGACUCCUGUGGAAAGAAGUGGUCAUCAAAGAAGGAUGUACUCUCUUCAAAGGGAGAACUUUCACUUUGCUUACGUCCUUCUCUAAAUAUUGACUGAGUUUGUGGAUUCAGAAGGCUUCCAUAGCCUAGACAGCUCAUGUCAAGAGCCUUGGGUGAUCACUGACAUCACACAAAAGAGUGUGAAUUGUUAAAUUAACCAUAGGAGUCACUGUGCACUAACUUCCCAUGCAGGACCUCAAGACUAUGCUUAAAAAAACAGAGGGGAGAGUAUGAUACCCCCACUAUUAGUGUAUUAACUUUGCUCCUUUCACCAUAAAGUUCUUAUAGGUCUCACCCCCUGGAGAGCCACCAGCAUUGAAACACUGGAGACCUCUCACAGAGAUCACUCUGCAGCCUGUGUGGAUAGCAGCCUGAAAUGCCAAACCCUGGACCCAGUCUCUGAAAGCUCACCCUCUGACAAGCCAACUUCAGCGCCUUUCCCUGAACAAGCCAUUCACAGAAAGAUCCUCUUCAGAUCAGCUACAGCUUAAAUGGAAGGGACCUUACCAGGUGCUACUGAACAUGACUACCUCAGUAAAAUUAGGAUUAAAUGUCUACCUCUCAAGUCCUAACAGGUGUACUCAAAAGACAUGCCUGAUUAUUCCUGUAAGCCAGAGAUCUUAAGCAAAAAGAAAAGUAAAGCCUUUGCUUUCCUCACAUCAAGAGUGCUGCACCUGAAGGCAGGCAUGGUGUACCUGCCUCUUUUGAUUCUCUGUUAUUAAUAAUAAAACUCCUAAUGUGUUCUUCUA
Molecule: long non-coding RNA, 1492 nt
Organism: Lepus europaeus (European hare)
Lineage: Eukaryota; Metazoa; Chordata; Mammalia; Lagomorpha; Leporidae
Exons: 2
Source: RefSeq, a predicted model, not a curated record